UGACCAUUGAGGGCCAAGACGCUAACU
RNAcentral lists this non-coding RNA (27 nucleotides) under Homo sapiens (human). The record is from RNAcentral. Lineage: Eukaryota; Metazoa; Chordata; Mammalia; Primates; Hominidae.